AACGAACGCUGGCGGCGCGUCUUAAGCAUGCAAGUCGAACGGCAAGAGAGGAGCUUGCUUCUCUCCUAGAGUGGCGGACUGGUGAGGAACACGUGGGUAAUCUACCCUUAAGAUGGGGAUAGCUGCUAGAAAUAGCAGGUAAUACCGAAUACACUCGGCAUAUCACAAGAGGUGUUGAGGAAAGGAAGCUACGGCUUCGCUUGAGGAUGAGCUUGCGUCCCAUUAGCUAGUUGGUGAGGUAAAGGCCCACCAAGGCGACGAUGGGUAUCUGGCCUGAGAGGGUGAACGGACACAUUGGGACUGAGAUACGGCCCAAACUCCUACGGGAGGCAGCAGCUAAGAAUAUUCCGCAAUGGACGGAAGUCUGACGGAGCGACGCCGCGUGGAUGAAGAAGGCUGAAAAGUUGUAAAAUCCUUUUGUUGAUGAAGAAUAAGGGUGAGAGGGAAUGCUCAUCUGAUGACGGUAAUCGACGAAUAAGCCCCGGCUAAUUACGUG
Molecule: ribosomal RNA, 496 nt
Filed under: uncultured bacterium
Lineage: Bacteria
Description: partial 16S ribosomal RNA
Rfam family: Bacterial small subunit ribosomal RNA
Source: RNAcentral